This 127-nucleotide small nuclear RNA is filed under the name Rhodnius prolixus. RNAcentral's name for it is "U4 spliceosomal RNA". It matches the Rfam family "U4 spliceosomal RNA". From Rfam's summary of the family: U4 small nuclear RNA (U4 snRNA) is a component of the major U2-dependent spliceosome. The structure of U4 snRNA from yeast and human has been reported. The record is from Rfam by way of RNAcentral. Lineage: Eukaryota; Metazoa; Arthropoda; Insecta; Hemiptera; Reduviidae.
AUCAAUUGCGCAGUGGCAAUAUCGUAUCCAAUGAAGGUCUCCUGAGGUGCGAUUAUUGCUUGUUGAAAGAAAUUUAAUAGUAAAUAGUUUGAGGUUAGAAAAGCAAUUGUUAAAAAGAUAUUCAAUU